Molecule: unclassified non-coding RNA, 289 nt
Filed under: Hevea brasiliensis (rubber tree)
Lineage: Eukaryota; Viridiplantae; Streptophyta; Magnoliopsida; Malpighiales; Euphorbiaceae
Source: RNAcentral
GUGUGUGUGUGUGUGUGUAAUUAAACAAGUAAUGACAAAUUAUAAAUUGCAUUUCUAGCUAGUUACUAAAAAUGCUUAAUGAAUAUCAAGAAUCUGUAUCAAUGUCAUCGUCACCAUCAUCAUCAUUAAAAUUGUUGAGAUUUUGAAUAUCUUCAUCACUGCUAAAAUAAUCAAUCAAUGUGUCAUCAACUUCAUUAGCUUCAUUGUCAUUCUCACCAACUUCAGGUAGUUGUGAAAUAAUUAAUGAUUCAACAUCUUCAACAUCCAUGUCUGCUCUAUGUAAUGAUUG